AAACAUGUCUUUUUGAAAUUUUUUUAAAGUCUAAUCUGCCCACUGAAUAAUUUUAAAUGGCCGCAGUAUCCUAACUGGCAAAGGUAGCAUAAUCAUUAGUCUUUUAAUUGGRGGCUGGUAUGAAUGAUUGGACGAGGUAUUAACUGUUUCAAGUAAAUUUACAAUAGAAUUUUAUUUUUUAGUCAAAAAGCUAAAAUUUAAUUAAAAGACGAGAAGACCCUAUAAAUCUUUACUAAAUUUUUUAUUUUAAUUAUAAAGAUAAAUUUUAUUAUAAUAAAAAAUUUAGUUUUAUUGGGGUGAUAUUAAAAUUUAAUGAACUUUUAAGUUUUAAAAACAUAAAUUUAGGAUAAUUGAYCCAGUAUUAGUGAUUAAAAA
Molecule: ribosomal RNA, 375 nt
Filed under: Dicranosepsis crinita
Lineage: Eukaryota; Metazoa; Arthropoda; Insecta; Diptera; Sepsidae
Description: partial 16S ribosomal RNA
Source: RNAcentral